This 1299-nucleotide ribosomal RNA is filed under the name Triticum aestivum (bread wheat). RNAcentral describes it as "partial small subunit ribosomal RNA". The record is from RNAcentral. Lineage: Eukaryota; Viridiplantae; Streptophyta; Magnoliopsida; Poales; Poaceae.
AUGGCCGUCGCCUCCGCCUGGGCCAAGCCCGGCUCAUGGGCCCUCGCCGCCGAGGAGCAGGACGACCUCCCCCCGCCGCCGCCCCCCGUCCCAGCCUCCGACUUCCCCGACCUCGCCACCGCCGCCACCACCAAGGUCCCCAAGAAGAAGAAGGUCCAGCCAGUCUCCCUCGCCUCGUUCAACAGCGCCAAGUUCGUCCCCUCCUCCUCCCGUGGUCCCACCCCGGACAUGCUGCUAAGCCUCCCCACCGGCCCCCGCGAGCGCACUGAGGAGGAGCUCGGCGGGGCACGCUGGGGCAACGUGUCUCGCGGCUCCGACGAGCCGCGACGUGGCGGAUCUGGCACGGAGGACUACGGCCCGUCCCGCGCCGACGAAGCGGAUGAUUGGGGUGUGAAGAAGCCGAUGGAGAGGAGGGAGCGGAUGGGAGGGUUUGGUGGUGAUUCGAUUUCGUCGCGUGCUGAUGACGUCAACGACUGGGUGUCCACCAAGAAGACGGCGCCCUCUCUGCCCAUGGAGCGGAGGGAGCGUAGCAGCGCGUUUGGUAGCGAGUCGCAGGGACGCGCUGACGAUUCCACGAGCUGGGUCUCCAACAAGAGCUACUCUGCUCCCCCGCCCGCACCUUCGGAUGGCCGAAGGGGUGGGUCAGUUUGGGGUUUCAAUAGGGAUGGUUGUCCAGAUGCUGAUUCUUGGGCAAGGAAAAGAGAGGAGGUAAGCAGUGGUGGUGGUAGUAGCAGUGCUCGGCCGCGUCUUGUUUUGCAGAAGCGAACUUUACCGGUUGCCGUUGUAACUGACGGGGAGAAGGAUGAGGGUGUAGAGGAAGAUAAACGAGAGUUUCAGCCCAAAAGCUGGUCUUGCAACCCAUUUGGGGCUGCACGCCCACGUGAGGAAGUGCUUGCCGCAAAGGUGGAGAACUUGACGAAGGAGGUGUAUGAACGGGAGGAGAAGCUAGUGAUUCAACCAAAAGUCAGAUCGUGGAAUCCGUAUGGGGCAGCCCGCCCACGGGAGGAAGUGCUUGCUGGGAAGGGGGAAGAUUGGAGGAAAAUUGAUGAGAAGCUUGAGGCCCUGAUGGUGCGUGAAGCACCAACUGAGGUUAGGUCCUCUGGGAGGAGGGGUUCCCCAGUCCAAGGCGAGGAGAACGAGAACGGCGAAGUGCUGGAGAGGAGUACUGACAGAGUGUGGAAGAAACCUGCAGUUGAGGCUGAAGUACUAUCUGAACAAGGAGGCUACAGGAGCUGCGCCUGCAAAUUAAUGUAUGGCCUCACAUGUUAUGAAGACGCUUCACAAUUCGAGUCUACUUAA